Long non-coding RNA from Ochotona curzoniae (black-lipped pika), 1431 nucleotides. RefSeq lists it as uncharacterized. The transcript is spliced from 3 exons. Lineage: Eukaryota; Metazoa; Chordata; Mammalia; Lagomorpha; Ochotonidae. The record is from RefSeq and is a predicted model, not a curated record.
GCUCCGUGGCCUGACUUAGUCUGUCCAGGGCCAGCCACCCAGGCCUCCAUGGUUCGUUUACUUCUUUGGUCGUCUCUGCUAGAAUUUUUUUCCAUGGAAAACAGGAGCUGCUUCACCUCAUUUCCAUCCCAGAUCUCUGAUACUGUAUAAAAAGAUUGGAAGCUGGCUUGUCAGCAUUGCCUCCCUCCUUCCAUGGACUUUCUUUGGGUCAGGAAAGGGCACUUUAAUCCUUUUCCUGCCCAUGACCCUCAGAACAGAGGUAAAAAGUGGCCAGAGGGAUGUGUUCAGCUUCUAGAUAUCUGCAGAGGUGUUGUCUCAGACAGUCUGGCUUACCCUUGGGGGCAGGUUGGCUUUGAGGCAGCACUUGGAGGCCUUGGGGUGUUGUAACUGGCUCAGACUCAUCGGUGGACAGUCCGCUAUCAGUUUCUGUGUCCAAUGAGCCGAUUGCCGCUUCCAGGAAGAGUAGACAUGCCUUCUCCUCAGCCGACAGGAAGUCAUAGAUGCCGUCACUCUGCGUGAAGAAGGAGCUGUGAGAGGGAGGUCCCUCUGCAGAAACUGGCGGAGCCCAAGAACUGCCCUGCCGUAGGGAAGGAAUGCUGAAGAGCUGGAAGCUGUCCGCAGAGCUACCCCGCAAGCCUGUUGGAGCAUUCCGCCCUCUUCUACUUGCCCCAGCUGGACCUGGAUGUGGUAUUUCCUUCCACUGACUUUAUAGACCUUGAAACUUGAGAGGUGUUUCUAAUCUGAUAAACAGCCCAAGAAGCAAGUCACUCAAGAAAGAAAAAACAAGCUGCUAAGCUUCCGAGAAGCCUGAGGAGGAGGAGGAAGCCUGAACUACAAAGAGGGACACCCUGGUUGAUGUAGGUCAGCGCUGGAGGGAAGUGUGUGUCUUUGUAUAUGAAUUCCUGUUUGAUGAUCCGUCUCUGAAACCUGGUGGCAGCCUGGCUCACCUGACUCAUCUCUCCCCCGAUUCUGCCACCUUGCAGGCUCUUGUGGCACAGUCACCUUCCUGGCUUAAGAGGCUCAGCUGCUUCCUUCCCCAGUAUGACCUCUCUUCCACUGAGUCACACACAUGCAUGUGCACAUAACACUACCCACAACAAUCUUUGGCCAGUCUGUCUUCUUUGGGCCCCGUAUAACAGUGCAAAAACAGUUAAGGACCUCCGUUCUAGCCAUUCUAGACCUAGUCAUUCACAUUCAGUCACUUCUUCUAAUCAGUGACCUUCUUCCUUUCUUCUCCUAAAGGAAAAUCGUGUUACUUUGAACAUAAACCAACACAUCCCGAGGCCGUGAUGUUCAUAGUACUUUCUGUUGAAGUACUAAUAUUUCUGGGUGUGACCUCUUAAAUAUUGGGGGAGGAACAAUUUUAUUUCAUUAGAAACUAUAGGUUCAAGGGUUUGCUUUAGUUAAAGAGAAAAUGGCUAGGGAGGGGUU